This 111-nucleotide non-coding RNA is filed under the name Tropicibacter naphthalenivorans. RNAcentral's name for it is "TPP sequence". It matches the Rfam family "TPP riboswitch aptamer (THI element)". From Rfam's summary of the family: Vitamin B(1) in its active form thiamin pyrophosphate (TPP) is an essential coenzyme that is synthesised by coupling of pyrimidine and thiazole moieties in bacteria. The previously detected thiamin-regulatory element, thi box was extended, resulting in a new, highly conserved RNA secondary structure, the THI element, which is widely distributed in eubacteria and also occurs in some archaea. The record is from Rfam by way of RNAcentral. Lineage: Bacteria; Pseudomonadati; Pseudomonadota; Alphaproteobacteria; Rhodobacterales; Roseobacteraceae.
CCCAGUGCCUCGGGGUGCUGAGAGACAACUCAGCUGAGAUUUGCGUACCCGCAUCAACCCGUUGAACCUGAACCGGUUAAAACCGGCGGAGGGAAGGUGCAGCGCCCCGUC